ACUGGGCACUGUUCACAGUGACAGGCGACAGGAAUAGAAAUCCACAGAAGCUCCCCGUUCUUGCCUGCUCCGAAGACUGAAGUCCAGCAGUCUCUCAUGCUGUGGGCCCAGACACUGCUCUCUGUCUUGACUGCCAAACCCUGGCUGGCCAAGUGACGAUUCACCAUCCUUACAACAUACUCCAGUCACUGAAGAUUCCCCACGGAACCACCACCUUCCUGCUCAGGCCUCUUCAUCUAUCCAACAGGAGGAGGGGAAAGAGACCAUUGACCCAGGACUGCCCUGGCGUGCAUGAAGCCCUGAGUGAGGGCUGUGGCAACUUCCCGGCCUGCACACACUGCUGCUGCUUUCUUGGUGCCUAUGAGUCAUGCCUUGUCACCCGUGUGACAUUAAUCACUCAGUGGGACUCAGAAAUCCAGCAGAUGAAUUCUGAAACUGAGUUGGGGAGGAGGCCAAAUGUCUCAUCGUGAGAUGAGUCCCAGGGUACAGUCUCGGACAGAUGAAUAUUCUAGAUUACAAGGCUUAGCACUUUAACCAGAGAAUAAAUACAGACUGUGGUUGUUUCCAUGUAUUUAAAAAAAGUAAAUUAUGACACAAGUGAUGCACAUUUGUUCGGGGAAAGUUACAGUACAGAUGGGCAAAACCAAAGAAAAAAGUGCAUCAGUUCCCCUAAACUCCACCACCCAGAAACAAUUGCUAUUAACAGGAGGACGUGGUUUACUUCCAAUGCUUUUCUGGGCACAUAUGUAAGUGUGUGUGUGUGGCAGUGCAACCGUGGAAUCGCAUUGUAAGACUUGACCCUAACACAGCUUUCCAUUUAAAGUAUAUUGUGAAUACGUUUCUACGUCAAUACAUUUAAAUGAUCAAUUUUAAAGCUAUCUAGCCCUCUACUGGCAUCAAUGCAAAUUUUCCUCAGAUUGUAUCACGUUUAAAAAGUUUUUCUAAGAUACACCACACACUCUCCUGCCUUCCCUUCCUGUUUUCUAAUCCAAGUACAGAAACAUGACAUUGCUUGUUUCUAGGUGCCUUGGGGUCGCUGUUAUUCAGUGAACCCCUCAGGAUGUAAAGUUUCAAUAAAGAAGCAGUUUGGUAGAGACAAAAGAGCUCCAGAUUAGAAAUCAGGAUAGCUCUGGGCCCCUGUGCACUCAGGCUCCACAUGGUUAUGCACAGAAC
Molecule: long non-coding RNA, 1173 nt
Filed under: Homo sapiens (human)
Lineage: Eukaryota; Metazoa; Chordata; Mammalia; Primates; Hominidae
Description: non-protein coding lnc-CD93-7:1
Source: RNAcentral